This 500-nucleotide ribosomal RNA is filed under the name uncultured bacterium. RNAcentral's name for it is "partial 16S ribosomal RNA". It matches the Rfam family "Bacterial small subunit ribosomal RNA", at positions 30 to 523 of the family's 1533-position model. The record is from RNAcentral.
AUUGAACGCUGGCGGCAUGCCUUACACAUGCAAGUCGAACGGCAGCACGGGAGCAAUCCUGGUGGCGAGUGGCGAACGGGUGAGUAAAGUAUCGGAACGUGCCCAGUCGUGGGGGAUAACGUAGCAAAAGUUACGCUAAUACCGCAUACGAUCUAUGGAUGAAAGCGGGGGAUCGCAAGAACUCGCGCGAUUGGAGCGGCCGAUAUCAGAUUAGGUAGUUGGUGGGGUAAAGGCUCACCAAGCCGACGAUCUGUAGCUGGUCUGAGAGGACGACCAGCCACACUGGGACUGAGACACGGCCCAGACUCCUACGGGAGGCAGCAGUGGGGAAUUUUGGACAAUGGGCGAAAGCCUGAUCCAGCCAUGCCGCGUGCAGGAUGGAGGCCUUCGGGUUGUAAACUGCUUUUGUACGGAACGAAAGGGUUUGGCCUAAUAAGCUGAGCUCAUGACGGUACCGUAAGAAUAAGCACCGGCUAACUACGUGCCAGCCGCCGCAGUAA